RNAcentral lists this small nuclear RNA (105 nucleotides) under Salvator merianae (Argentine black and white tegu). Lineage: Eukaryota; Metazoa; Chordata; Lepidosauria; Squamata; Teiidae. The record is from RNAcentral.
AUGCUUGCUUCGGCAGCACAUAUAUUAAAAUUGGAAGUAUACAGAGAAGAUAGCAUGGCCCUGCUCAAAUAAAAAAAGAAUCUGAGAAUAAACCAUUAAAUUAUU